GCUUGGAGAGCACUAAUCCCUCCUGCUCUUGGAGGAGUAAAGCCUAUUCUGGUUAGCAUUAGCCAGUUGACCAACAUGGCCCAGGCAGGGCUGCAUUUCAUUAUGUGUUUGGUCUAUUCUGAGUAUAUUUGCUCUUUUUUAAAGAGACAAAAAAUAAGUGUGAAUUUAAGUGUUUAACCUAUUCAAUUAGGUGCUCUGAUUACCACCAACAUUCAGUUGUGGAUUUUGUAGAGCCCAGAACAGAACGGCUAUAAGGUAAAACGUGUUUUGGUUAUGUCAUUUAGAUGUUCACAGGAGCUCCCAGGAUAUUCUUCCACAUUGAGUGGAGCGCAGGCAACUCCAAAUUGUUGGAGUCCAACAGCUAUAAAGCUUACUAGCAACGCAUUCCAGAGAGCAAGCACUCAUGCGUUGCAGUAUCGGAACGUGGCGACGAACAGUUACUCAGAGCUGCUGAGGAAGGCAUGCAUUGUUGAACUCACUUCUUUAAAUACUCUGGGGGAUGUCUGAUAUAGACCAGGAGUUUGACACUUUGCAUGCUGGUGCUCCGUUUUGUCAACCACGCGUGCCCCAAAACGGUGAACAAUACGUUUGUGUGCGUCGCGGUUGGUGCGUGAAUAUUACAGUAGGUCUCCCUUAUUUGACGAACGUGUCCAGAAAAGCCGUAUCGAUGUUGUCUCGAGAUUCAGCUGAGAUUCAGUCAAGUCUCCGACUCUGGUCGCGUCUAGACCCCUGGGGAGGGUCCAUGGAGGAGAACCUGAUGGAGAGGGUGCAUACUCUAGCAGUGGUUCUGCCUGGAGAAAACGGCCACGGUAAAUGGGAGGUAAGAGGCAUACAGACAGAAUGUUUCGUUGGAGCAAUACCAAAUCAUACUGUGUAUCUGGAAUGGAUUGACUGAGUACGAAAAAGGUAUGAAAAUGUAUGCACUCACUAAGAUGCUCUCGAUAAGAGCAUCUGCUAAAUGACUAAAAUGUAAAUUGGUUCCUUUUAUAUUUGAACGUCAUUGAAAUGAAUUUUAAACCAUGAAUAUAACUCUAUACUGUGGACACAUGUGGUACACCUGCACUGUGUUUCUAUCUCUACAGUAAACCUGUGAUGGACAUACUGGUCACACUCUGUGCCCAGUACCACCUGAAUCCAUCUGACUUCACCAUAGAACUCCAGUCAGCCAAUAGAAACAAAAUCUCCUUCAAAACCAGCUCUCUGAUUGGAGCCAUGGAGGCUCAGAGGAUCCUACUGAAACCUAAAGGGGGAGAGGAGAAGAUAAGGAGGCUGUACGUGCCAGAGGUCACUGUACGUCUGCUAAUCACCUACAAGAAGAACCAUAAGGCCGUUGUGAGGGUCAACCCUAGAGUCCCUCUGGAGCAGCUCCUGCCUGCGGUGUGUGUGAGUUUGACCUGGAGUCCACCAUUUUACUGAGAGCCAACGGCUCUGAAGAACCUUUAAACCUGAGCAGGUCCCUCGAUGACUAUGGACUAAGGGAACUGUACGCCAAGGAAACAGCAGGGUCUCUCAGUGAGUGCCCCGGCCUCACGUGGUCUGAAAAACCAGCGGGUGGCCAGCAUCAGCAUGAACUCCCUGGGUGUCCACUCCUCCAACACCCUGCCCAUGGACGACACCAUGGCCAAGAAGAAAACGGGCACCCACGCUCCACAUGGCAGGCUCCCAAAGCGUCCCUGCCAACCUCAACGUCCAGCCGGGUCUCCAGAAGGUUCCACUGACUGGGUCUUCAGUGCUCCAACCGUGUCUAGUCCUAGUGAGCUUUACCAGACCGCACCAAAAUCACCAGUGGUAGUCAAGCAGGAGAGUUCAGAGAUGGAGGCCCAGGAGGAGUCCGAAUCACCCACAGACAGUCUAGAUUCAGAACUACAGAAAAGUCUAGAGGUACAAGUCCCGGAGGAGUCGGAUACACUCUCAGAGAUUCCCAACCCAUACACGGCUGACCUGGAGAUGAAAUGGAAUACCUGGAGAUGGAAUACGUGGAGAUGAGGUGACCUCAACUCCUGAACUACUAGAGAGCAGGGGAUUGUUCCGGAAGCCCAGUCUGGUGAUAGAGGAGUCAGCAGAGGACCGUUUCUUUUCCCCUCCUCCCCCUUCCCCUCCCCGUGUGUGCUAUGGUAAGGAGGAGACGGAGCCGACCCAGUUACGAGUGAGGCCUCCUGGGGGAAGAAAUCACCGCCCUCCCUCUUAUCCUCCCCCUUCUCUUCCUACGCUGAGUCGUACCUUCUGUGAACCAGCUGCGGGAGACAAUCAGACUAAUGCCCCUUCAUCACCCAAACCGAACAUGAUUAAUUUGACUUCACCCAAACCAUACGUGCCUGCAGCCCUGGCCAGGAGAACUGCCAUCCCCUCCUGCUUUGCCCAGGCUGUGGCUCUAGCCGUCCGUAAGUCCCAGUCCUCCUGUCCCCGAAGGCCAGCACCAGACUUGUUUUCCUCCCUCUCAGGCUCCUCACCCUCCACUGCCUUACCGCUAACCAAUGUGGUGAGUGGUGAUUUUUGACCUGCACUAACACGGUGAUGACAUGCAAAUUUUGCCAUUGUAGCAACUGGAUUGGACCCAAAAUUGAACCAUUGGUUACCCCUAUCAUACUACGAUGUGCUUGCUUCCAUACAUAAAGUUGCCAUUCUUAACUUUCAUGAUCUCUCUGUGAACCUCACAUGUUCCACAGGUGAACUCUUUACACCAGCGGAGGCUGGUGGGAGGAGCCAUAGGAGGACGGGCUCAUUGGAAUGGCUGGAUUGGAAUAAAUGGAACGGAGUCAAACAGGGUUUCCAUGUGUUGGAUACCAUUCCAUUGCAGACAUUCAGCCUGUCCUCAUACAGCUCAUCCCACCAGCCUCCACUGCUUUACACAGGAAAGAAGGGAAGGGCAUAUCUUGAUGUAAGUGUGUAUAUUCUACAGUGGGAUUUUUUUCUAUCUGGAAAGAUGUUGUUUGUUACAUUAAAUGGCGACAAAUGCCUUUCUAAACAAUCCUGGCAGACUGGUAUUCUUCUGAGACACCUUGGUGUUUGUCUGUUAUCUUCAUGUGUAUGUGCAAAAUGUGGUAUAUGGCCCUGUAGAAUACCUCUAUUGACAUGCUCACACUCUGUGUGACCUGGUGGAGGAAGGACCUAAUCUAAACUGGUGAUAUUUGUGUCUCUUGUCCUACAGGGGCCAUAAUGGCUUCAUAGUAAAUCUGUGAAAUGGAAGUUCCUGUUUAGGGUGAGGCAACUGCAGUGAGGUAGAGCCGGCAACCACAUAGUCACAUGACCUCCAAAUGGACCCCACUUAUGGACCGACAAAUUCCAAAGAAGCCCAGGCCCCUGUUUUUCACUGGGAGUCAGCACAUUAUAAAAACAACAUUUAUCCAAGACUUCAUCCAAGAGUUUGAUUAGUGUACAGGUCAUUUUAUUUUCACUGAAUGUUUGUUUUUGUAUCUGUUAUUAAGAUAUUUGACUUGUAUGCGAAGAUGUAUUUAUUUGACCUUGGUAGUACAGUAUUUAUGGGAUCUACAUGUUUGUACUUGGAGUUUCCUGUUGACUCAUUAGUGUUGAAAUGUGCCAAAACCGAGAUUAAAUAAUACGUAAUCUCUCCUCAGUAUCUCUUUUUGUUUGUCAAGGACAGAGAACUCUGAAAUAAGAUGACUUAAAAUGUUACGUUUCAUUCUGUACAAAUCAAGAAUUAUUCUAUAUAUUUUCUUCCAGACAUGUAUCAUUUCUAUAAGUAAAUGAUACGCCAUUAUCAACAAGUGUGUUGCUUUCUUUUGCCACCGGAGGGCAGGAGCACACUUCACAAAUUUCUCAUGUACAGAACCACUGUGUGAGCUGUUUUGUGAUCCACACUUGAUCAAUUAUUAGCAUUGACAUAUCCAGAUAUUAAAGAAGAGCAUCAAUUAUCAUUCAUCUUCUUUGUCUUUACUGGUUAUACUAUAUAUUUUUAAUGGAUUAGUGUGUUUUAUUUCAAGCCUUGUUAUCUUGUCCGUUAUCGCGUUAUGGUUGCUAUUUCACAAUGAUAUUCUACAGGAUAUUCUACACGGUGCCAUGGUUAGAGCAUUGCAGGAAGAUAUGUAAUAUUAAAUCUACAUGAUGUGAAAUAAAUAACGUUCUUGCUAUGCAUUGUUGUUCAGAGUGCAACACAUUACUGAAUAAACUGAGAUGAUGUACAG
Molecule: long non-coding RNA, 4142 nt
Filed under: Salmo salar (Atlantic salmon)
Lineage: Eukaryota; Metazoa; Chordata; Actinopteri; Salmoniformes; Salmonidae
Description: lncRNA (ENSSSAG00000106953.1)
Source: RNAcentral